Molecule: ribosomal RNA, 560 nt
Filed under: uncultured bacterium
Lineage: Bacteria
Description: partial 16S ribosomal RNA
Rfam family: Bacterial small subunit ribosomal RNA
Source: RNAcentral
UGGGGAAUAUUGGACAAUGGGGGCAACCCUGAUCCAGCCAUGCCGCGUGAGUGAUGAAGGCCUUCGGGUUGUAAAGCUCUUUUGGCGGGGACGAUGAUGACGGUACCCGCAGAAUAAGCCCCGGCUAACUUCGUGCCAGCAGCCGCGGUAAGACGAAGGGGGCUAGCGUUGUUCGGAAUUACUGGGCGUAAAGCGAGUGUAGGCGGUUGCCGUAGUCAGGUGUGAAAGCCUUGAGCUCAACUCAAGAAAUGCACUUGAUACUGGGUGACUAGAGGACCGGAGAGGAUAGUGGAAUUCCCAGUGUAGUGGUGAAAUACGUAGAGAUUGGGAAGAACACCAGUGGCGAAGGCGGCUAUCUGGACGGUUACUGACGCUAAGACUUGAAAGCGUGGGGAGCAAACAGGAUUAGAUACCCUGGUAGUCCACGCCGUAAACGAUGGGUGCUAGACGUUGGCGAGCUUGCUCGUCAGUGUCGCAGCUAACGCGUUAAGCACCCCGCCUGGGGAGUACGGCCGCAAGGUUGAAANUCAAAGGAAUUGACGGGGUCAUAGCUGUUUCCU